UGAGGUAGUAGGUUGUAUAGUUUUAGGGUCAUACCCUUCCUGUCAGAUAACUAUACAACUUACUGUCUUUCC
Acanthochromis polyacanthus (spiny chromis) is the source of this 72-nucleotide microRNA precursor. The record is from Ensembl. NCBI's taxonomy places the organism in Eukaryota, Metazoa, Chordata, Actinopteri, Pomacentridae.